CUAAUAUAAUAUUAUUAAUCAUUUUCAUACAAUAAACGUGUAUUUUCUAUACAAAAAUUCCGGUUUCAUAUUUACAUACCUGGUACACUGCAUUCUCCACACCAUAAGGCUACUUCCAUUAUAAUCGCAUGCCAUUCGGACUGAAAAACGCACCCGCAACUUUUCAACGAAUGAUGGACACAGCAUUAAGAGCGUUAGUCAAUGUUAAUCGUUUCGUACAUCUAGACGAUAUUAUAAUUUUCGAAGAUACAAUUCAAAAACAUAGUCAAAAUUUAGCAAUAGUUUUGCAAAGACUUAGAGAACUAGGACUCAAGAUACAGUCUGGUAAAUGCGAAUUCCUCAAAGCUUGAAUAUUUAGGACAUUUAGUAACAGUCGAAGGAGUUAAACGAAACCCGAAGAAAAUCAAGCCCGUGAAAGAUUUUAGGACGCCGAGGAACCCAACCAAGGUCGAAUCAUUUUUAGGACUGACCGGCUAUUAUAGAAAAUUUAUACGUAACUUUUCCAAGAUAGCCAAACCAUUGACCGACUCAAUUAAGAAAGAUAUUAGCUUUUACUGAACGAACAAACAACAAGACAGUUUUGAAUCGUUGAAACAAAAAUUAUAUGAGGCACCGAUUUUAACUUACCCAGAUUUUACAAAGACCUUCACGCUAACGACCGACGCGAGUAACGAAGGACGAGAAGCUGUUCUCUCACAAGAUGGACGCCCAUAUUGUUUUAUUUCAAAAACACUCAACCCACCUGAGAAAAAAUUACACGGCAAAUGAAAAAGAACUUUCAGCAAUCAUAUGGGCGAUGAAAAGGCUAAGACAAUAUCUGUUAGGACGUAAAUUCAUAAUUAGGAAAAACCAUCAGGCUUUGAAAUGGCUAAACGAUUGUAAAGAUCCUUAAUCACGUUUAAUGAGAUGGAGAUUAAAAUUAGAAAAAUACGAAUACGAGAUUGAAUACGUAAAGGUAAAGAUAACACGGUAGCCGAUAGUUUAUCCAGAGCUCACGCAAUCACAAAAACAGACAUCCAUGUUAUAGAUCGUACAGAGCAUUUCAAUGAAUGCAAGCAAGCGGCAAGAAUUCAUGGAAGACUUGAUUUGAAAUCAAACGACAAUUCCUUUUAUCAAUUGACCAAAGACGAGCUAGGUGAAUAUAAUGAAACAAUUUGGCUUAGGAAAAUCCAUUCGAUUAUUCAAAAUUAUACCAAACUUAGAAUAGGUGACAACACGUUUUCAGAAUUAGAAAAAAUUCAGUUGAAACUCAUAAAUCUUUAUUUCAAUGAUACAUAAAAAAUUAAUUUUUGCGUGGGAACCAAUAAAAGAGUUAACAGAAGCAGAAGUAGAUACAAUUCUAUGUGAAAAUCAUAAUGAAAUUAUGAUUAUAGGACACUUAGGAGUGCAAAAAACAUCAAAGAAUUAAAGAAAAAUAUAAAAUAGCAGAUUUAGUGGAAAAGACACACCUUUGCAACCAAACGAUAAAAUAGCAAUGGAUAUCAUUGGACCAACGAUGAAAACAAAACGAGGAAAUCAAUUCAUACUUUUGAUUCACGACGAACUGACAAAAUAUUUAAUAUUAGUACUUUUGAACACCCAACAGACAGAGUCAAUUAUUAACGCUAUUUUGGUACACUACAGUUAUAUUUUCUCAGCACAAAGAACAAUUUUGACGGAUCAAGGACAAAACUUUGUGAGCGAACUAAUGAUUAAGUUUGAUGAAGCUUUCAAAAUCAAACAGAAUAAAACCACAUCUUUCCACCCUCAAGCCUACGGAUCCCUAGAAAGAACGCAUGCUGUAGUGAAAGAUUUGAUACGAACUAGUUUACGCGAUAACAAUAGAGAAUGGGAUGAUGUUUUGAAUUUUAAUUGUUUAAGAUAUAAUACUUCGAUUCACGAAGCUAUUCUUCUCGCCAUUUGAAUUAUCUUUCGGAAGGAAAGCUAACUUGCCCUUCGUGAUAGCCAAAACUAUGGGUUUAAGGGCAUAUUCUAGUCUACAAAUUCGAAAAAAUCGAAAAAAAUUUUUUUUAUAUUUCCAAAGUAUCGACAUUCAAGAAUAUGCCCUUAAAAGGAUUUUUCAAAAUUUCAAAUAUUUUAUGAGUUACAGCUAUUUUUACAUUUGCUCCAGUCCGACCGGAACAAAUGAACAGUAGACGGUAGACGUUGCCCGAGUACCUACGUAUGAAUAUACCUCAUGAAAUAUUUAUUGUAUUUUAUCCCCUUUUAAUGUAUUUUUGAUUCAAUGAUUCAAUUUGAACUAUAUUUGGGUUCUGAAACCCAAAAUAAUAACGAAUCGUUAAAUUCGUUAAUAUGGACUUUUGCUCCGAAGCGCAUCCACGCAGGAACGCAGACAAUUCAAAUUUUCACUUUCCUUGCAGUAUGUAUUUUUAAUGAAGCUUUUAUACCCAUAUUAAAAAUCUUAAGUGUCAUGGGAAUCACGAUUGGCCCAGAAACUCGUGAAGUCGCAAUCAGGCGAGACGAGGUUCGUAUCGAGCGCUCUGAACUCCGAGCUUCAGAGGCAUCAAAGGAAGCCAGGACUGCUCGUCUCCAUGAAAGAACUUCGGACAAUGAGCAUUUUCAAGUAGAGGAAGGUUUCUUGUAGGGAGUAGGAAUCGCCGAUUAAAAAUAUGUAAGUAUGCUGUACCAUUCUAUGAGUAAUAUUGCCGGAAACUUGUCUCAAAACUUUAAACGUGUAGAGAGAGAGAUUAUGUUCUUAUUCAUAAUGAUCAUGAGAAAAAUAGGUUGGACAUUGAAUGGUUAGGGCCAUGCAGAAUUCACCAAAUUAAAACUCCGUAUUACGGGAUUUUGAUUGAUAGUGUUAUUAAGAAAAUCCAUGGUAAUCGUUUGAAAACUUAUUUCUCAGAACGAGAUCCACCCUAAAGUAAUUCUCAGUAUUAGCACCAUUGAUCCAACCAAAAAUCCUGAAUUGCCUUUUGAAAAACAUGAAACUAUACAAAACAAAGUUCCAAUGCAGCUGGUGACGCUAUUGGAUGUUAUAAAGCAAUUGAAAAAAAAGAAAAAAAAAAAAGAAUCUGGC
Molecule: long non-coding RNA, 3019 nt
Organism: Bombus terrestris (buff-tailed bumblebee)
Lineage: Eukaryota; Metazoa; Arthropoda; Insecta; Hymenoptera; Apidae
Exons: 2
Source: RefSeq, a predicted model, not a curated record